Non-coding RNA from Pangasianodon gigas (Mekong giant catfish), 73 nucleotides. Lineage: Eukaryota; Metazoa; Chordata; Actinopteri; Siluriformes; Pangasiidae. The record is from the annotation of a GenBank genome assembly.
GUGCAUGUACCUGUCGCUGUGCUUUUCUCUGUGCACAUACCUGUCGCUGUGCUUUUCUCUGUGCAUAUACCUG